GGGAAGUCGGGGACGGCAGGCGCGGCAAUAGGGAGGGGGAAGGCGGUGGUCGGAGUUAUUGGGCGUAAAGAGCGUGUAGGCGGCCAUGUAGGUCCGGUGUGAAAACUCGAGGCUCAACCUCGAGACGCCGGUGGAAACCAUGUGGCUAGAGUCCGGAAGAGGAGAGUGGAAUUCCUGGUGUAGCGGUGAAAUGCGCAGAUAUCAGGAAGAACACCCGUGGCUAAGGCGGCUCUCUAGUACGGUACUGACGCUGAGACGCGAAAGCGUGGGGAGCAAACAGGAUUAGAUACCCUUGUAGUC
This 300-nucleotide ribosomal RNA is filed under the name uncultured Lactobacillus sp. RNAcentral's name for it is "bacterial SSU rRNA". It matches the Rfam family "Bacterial small subunit ribosomal RNA", at positions 496 to 795 of the family's 1533-position model. The record is from RNAcentral. Lineage: Bacteria; Bacillati; Bacillota; Bacilli; Lactobacillales; Lactobacillaceae.